UACGAAGGUGCAAGCGUUAAGUCGGAAUUACUGGGGCGUAAAGGCGCGCGUAGGUGGUUUGUUAAGUUGUAAUGUGAAAGCCCCCGGGCGUCAACCUGGGAACUGCAUCCAAAACUGGCAAGCUAGAGUAUGGCAGAGGGUGGUGGAAUUUCCUGUGUAGCGGUGAAAUGCGUAGAUAUAGGAAGGAACACCAGUGGCGAAGGCGACCACCUGGGCUAAUACUGACACUGAGGUGCGAAAGCGUGGGGAGCAAACAGGAUUAGAUACCCCCGUAGU
This 276-nucleotide ribosomal RNA is filed under the name uncultured bacterium. RNAcentral's name for it is "partial 16S ribosomal RNA". It matches the Rfam family "Bacterial small subunit ribosomal RNA", at positions 524 to 794 of the family's 1533-position model. The record is from RNAcentral.